ACGGGUGAGUAACGCGUGGGAAUCUACCCAUCUCUACGGAAUAACGCAUGGAAACGUGUGCUAAUACCGUAUACGUCCUUCGGGAGAAAGAUUUAUCGGAGAUGGAUGAGCCCGCGUUGGAUUAGCUAGUUGGUGGGGUAAAGGCCUACCAAGGCGACGAUCCAUAGCUGGUCUGAGAGGAUGAUCAGCCACACUGGGACUGAGACACGGCCCAGACUCCUACGGGAGGCAGCAGUGGGGAAUAUUGGACAAUGGGCGCAAGCCUGAUCCAGCCAUGCCGCGUGAGUGAUGAAGGCCCUAGGGUUGUAAAGCUCUUUCACCGGUGAAGAUAAUGACGGUAACCGGAGAAGAAGCCCCGGCUAACUUCGUGCCAGCAGCCGCGGUAAUACGAAGGGGGCUAGCGUUGUUCGGAUUUACUGGGCGUAAAGCGCACGUAGGCGGACUAUUAAGUCAGGGGUGAAAUCCCGGGGCUCAACCCCGGAACUGCCUUUGAUACUGGCAGUCUUGAGUUCGAGAGAGGUGAGUGGAAUUCCGAGUGUAGAGGUGAAAUUCGUAGA
This 557-nucleotide ribosomal RNA is filed under the name uncultured bacterium. RNAcentral's name for it is "bacterial SSU rRNA". It matches the Rfam family "Bacterial small subunit ribosomal RNA", at positions 102 to 694 of the family's 1533-position model. The record is from RNAcentral.